CUAAAAUUUUUGAUAUGAUUAAAGUUUAGUCUCUUUUGAUAUGUCUUGUAUAUUUUUUAUUUGGUUUUGAUCAGAGUAUUGAAUCAAAAUCAGCCCCUGAUUCGGACUGCUGAAAAUUUGUUUUAGCAAAAAUUUUCUAUGCAGAUUUUUAUGCUGAUUUAAUACCUGAUUAUACAUGAAUUUAAAUCUAUUUUGAUAAAUUUUUUAUGAUGUAAUUCAAUUAAAAAAUUAAUGUUUGAAUUAGUCUC
Molecule: long non-coding RNA, 248 nt
Filed under: Elaeis guineensis (African oil palm)
Lineage: Eukaryota; Viridiplantae; Streptophyta; Magnoliopsida; Arecales; Arecaceae
Description: long non-coding RNA (EGUI_LNC063568)
Source: RNAcentral